This is a long non-coding RNA of Oncorhynchus tshawytscha (Chinook salmon), 712 nucleotides long. The record is from Ensembl. NCBI's taxonomy places the organism in Eukaryota, Metazoa, Chordata, Actinopteri, Salmoniformes, Salmonidae.
GCUUGAUGCUAUAUAUAUAUAUAUAUAUAUAUAUAUAUAUAUUACACACACACAAUGAGAAAUGGCUUUUUAGAGUUUAUCGAGUUCACUUCAUAAUGUUUCUAACUAGAUUCCAUCAGAAAUGAAGAUGGUUUAAACAAGCGUGACUGUUGCAACUUUUCUCCUUUUUUCUACAGCAAAUGACAUCUGCAGUAAGAGCAUUAGGGACUGUAGGGGUUAGAGUGUAGAGGGGGCAGGUAGCCUAGUGGUUAGAGUGUAGGGGCGGCAGGUAGCCUAGUGGUUAGAGUGUAGGGGCGGCAGGUAGCCUAGUGGUUAGAGUGUAGGGGGGGCAGGUAGUCUAGUGGUUAGAGUGUAGAGGGGGCAGGUAGCCUAGUGGUUAGAGUGUAGGGGCGGCAGGUAGCCUAGUGGUUAGAGUGUAGGGGGGCAGGUAGCCUAGUGGUUAGAGUGUAGGGGCGGCAGGUAGCCUAGUGGUUAGAGUGUAGGGCGGCAGGUAGCCUAGUGGUUAGAGUGUAGGGGCGGCAGGUAGCCUAGUGGUUAGAGUGUAGGGGCGGCAGGUAGCCUAGUGGUUAGAGUGUAGGGGCGGCAGGUAGCCUAGUGGUUAGAGUGUAGGGGCGGCAGGUAGCCUAGUGGUUAGAGUGUAGGGGCGGCAGGUAGCCUAGUGGUUAGAGUGUAGGGGCGGCAGGUAGCCUAGUGGUUAGAGUGUAGGGGCGGC